Molecule: long non-coding RNA, 254 nt
Filed under: Malus domestica (apple)
Lineage: Eukaryota; Viridiplantae; Streptophyta; Magnoliopsida; Rosales; Rosaceae
Description: long non-coding RNA (MDOM_LNC004133)
Source: RNAcentral
UAAUAAUGGAUGGGUGUUUGGUUUUGAUGAAAAAGUAAAUUAAACUUAAUUAAAUUACAGAAUUGAUAAAAACAUAAAAUUAAGGUAAAAUGAUAAAUGACGGACUAGCUAGAGGGUUCUUCUCCACACAUGACACAUAUGCAACCUAAAUUGAUUUUCAGUUGUUCUUUCAAUAAAUUUUGAAUCUCAAUACUCCAGAUUAACCGUGAACAGCACUUUUUUAAUCUUCAAGUUUUCCUUAAGUUAUUGAAUUG